GCGCAGCAGGCGCGAAUACUUUACAAUGUGCGAAAGCACGAUAAGGGAACUCUGAGUGCCUCCUAAGGAGGCUGUUCAGGUGUCUAAAAAGCACCUGAAGGAAGGGCUGGGUAAGACCGGUGCCAGCCGCCGCGGUAACACCGGCAGCCCAAGUGGUAGCCACGUUUAUUGGGUCUAAAGCGUCCGUAGCCGGCUGGGUAAGUUCCUUGGGAAAUUUGGCUGCUUAACAGUCAAGCUUUCAGGGAAUACUGCCCGGCUUGGGACCGGGAGAGGUCAGAGGUACUCCAGGGGUAGGGGUGAAAUCCAUUAAAUCCUUGGGGGACCACCGGUAGCGAAGGCGUCUGACCAGACCGGGUCCGACGGUGAGGGACGAAGGCUAGGGGCGCG
RNAcentral lists this ribosomal RNA (387 nucleotides) under uncultured microorganism. Its description in RNAcentral is "bacterial SSU rRNA". It matches the Rfam family "Archaeal small subunit ribosomal RNA", at positions 330 to 721 of the family's 1478-position model. The record is from RNAcentral.